RNAcentral lists this long non-coding RNA (290 nucleotides) under Mytilus galloprovincialis (Mediterranean mussel). Lineage: Eukaryota; Metazoa; Mollusca; Bivalvia; Mytilida; Mytilidae. The record is from RNAcentral.
CGUAAAUUGUCCCAGUCAAUGGAUGAAUUUAAUCUGUCAAUCAAUGGCCACAGCCACACUGUUUUGAAUUUCAUUCUAUUGUUUUCUAUUUUAAACUACUGCGCAUGCAUGUAUACUUGUCAUUUUUUUUAUCUAUAUCUGCAACCCUAUUUGAAAAUUAUACCAUACGUAUUUUUUAUGUGUUUAUUCUUUUAUCAACAUUUUCUGUUUUUCUGUUUUGGGAAAUUUGUUUUUCCUACAUGUAACUGUCAUCCUACCACAAAGACAAAUAUGUUUAUGUAUAUAUAUAU